ACUCAAAAGAAUCAAAAUCAAGGAGGUCAAAGAAAGACCCUGCCGGAGGAGUCACCUUCUUAAGCAAAGUGCCUUGCUCAUUGACUUCAGGUAAUUCCGAGGGCUUUUGUGAGGAGAAAGAAACACCUGUCACAGGUCAUACGGAGCCCUAAGGAACCACCUCUAAAUUGUCCACUCUCUUGUUGUUUGUGGUUUUCACGAGAAAAAGAAAAAGUGGUGCAAAGAUCUCCAGAAAGAAACAUCCUCAGCCAUUAACUCAGCAGCGGGGGAGGCUGGCUUGUUAUUUAGUGAGUAUCUGCGUGUACAUAUGUGUGCACACAUGUGAACGUGCGUUGUGUAAGAGACAGAGUUCCUCGUGGAAUACUCAGUACCUGGUUACAAAACAAGAAAACACCUGUUAGCUUUUAAAGUGAGAUACAAUCCAGAUUACAUAUUAUCAGGAAACAGUUUAUUUCUUCCAUUGCUCUUUAUAGUGCAGUGCGAAUUACCAUAAGUAAUGUAUUUUCUAAAACAGCUUUAAAUGAAAACAAUACUAUAUUAUGAAAUCUUACAAGCCUAUAAAGGAAAUAAAAAAGAGUACACUAGCUUAGGAAGGACUGUAAGGGCCGCGGAGAGUGAGCCUGGAGUUUCUUCAAACCUUUAAGGCCAGACUCUGGCAGAAAAGACCUUCUUGUUCCAGGAGCCAAUCCAAUCCUGAUUAUACUUUCUAUGUGCAAUUUGUUUAAAAAACCUAAUCAUCCUCUCCUGCUCCAGAUAUAACCUCUCCACCCCAUGUGGUUUAUAUUAUGUAAAUGGAAUCAGAAACGUAAUAGCUCAAAUUUGAUUAUCGCCGCUUGCUGCCCAUGGUAUCAUUCAAAGUGCAGGUUGACACAUGGGCUUCUGGUUUAUGGGACCGCAUGUCAUAAGCAUAUUAGUUAAGGCAGUAACAGCUCCUGCUUGAUUUUACACCAAAAUUGGCAAAAGGCAUAUUUAUAAAAUAUGCUAAGUGCCCUAACAAGUAACUUCCAAAUCUCGGUGGCUUAUGCAAGUUUCCUGUCUGCAUCUCAGAGGUGGGUAGGUUGGCUGGGGGCAGGAAGGGUCCCGCAGUCCCGUCCUUGGGCUCUCCCCGCCCUUCACUGGGUCCUUUGGCUGAUGAGCUAGAGGGCUUUCACUGAAGACCUAAGAGAGGCGCAGAGAGGCCAGCCCGCUGCACCCACGCUGGCGUACUUUUCACUGGGGACACCUGUCACUUGGCCAGUCCUUCCAAGGGGAUUGCAGAAAGCUGUCGCAGCACGUGAUCGGGUCCCAAAGGUGUGUGGUUAAUGGAGCCACUUUCCCUGCAGGCCAAUAAAAUACAGAUUUAUCAGAGAAGUACCUAUUAAAAAUAAUGUUUUAUGUGGCCAGUGUUUUAAGCUUUUACCACAAAACAUUGUCAAAACACAAUGAAUCACGAAGAAUGUGGAAAGUUGACUUCAGAAGUGGAAAAUAAUUUUGAAAACGGCACAUAAAAAACUGUAUUCAAUACCUAAUCUUCCAAUCGUGUAAGUCACAGGGCAGUAGCCAAGUGGCAAGCAAAUGAGAGAUGAAAGGAAAAUGCUUCCUUAUUUCUUUCCCGUCCUUGGUCCCGGCGGUAGAGUUUUCUAGCAAGUCCGCAGAGAUGCUACAGAUAAUCACAGAGCCACCGCGGGAAUUUGGAGUAUUCACAUCGCUACUGAUCGGAGAAUCCUUGAGAGCACACGUGUUGUAACCCAGCCAGACUAUUCCUAAGGGAGAGUUUAUGGAAACUGGUGGUAAGCACAAUUGCCACAAGCCAUGCGGGGCUUGCUAAUGAUUCACAGAGUAGAAUCAGCUCCAUGUAGGAGAAGAAGAACCCAUUGCAUCAUAUGUCUACCCUUAAUAUGAGAUAUUCUAGGUUUCCCAUAUGCAUUGCUUUUUGUCGUUAUUAAAGCACCCUAAAUGUAUUGUCAUCAACAUUAUGUAUCACAGAUGAUGAUAGAUUUUAGUAAAGGAUGAAUUUUUUUUUACAUAUUUCACCACACAAUAAAUCUGAGGACACACAGAAGAGCAAAGUGUGAAAUAGAAUAAAAUAUCACUGAUGAUCCACUUCAUGGACCCAACAGUUAGCGUCUAGGAAUAUAGUUUUUCAAAAUCCUUUUCUCUAUUUUAUUGUUGAUUGCACUAUCUGUUGAGGAUGAUCUUUUGAGCAGUCCAUUCAUUUUAUUAUCUAUUUCCUCUGGUAAAUUUAUUUUAAACAUUGUUCAAAUCAAUUUGAUUUACUUUUAUUUAGUGUAUUACACAAUUCAUUAGUUACUUAUCUUUACACAGAAUAGACCUCUGGCAAAAAGAGGUACUGAGACCUCUAUCCUAAACUCACCAUUUCACAGGUGACUAAAAAAAAAAAAAAAAAAAAAUGAGUCACGUAGAUCCUGAGCUAUAAGGAUCCACAAAUGGCACCUCCCAUUUCCCUAGGCUAUAAAGAGCACCUAAAUGCCUCGAACUCUCCCAAGUUCCCAAGAGCAAAAUGUCUACUGGGCUCUUUUUUUUUUUUUUUCUUAGAAUUGCAUAUUUAGUCGUGUUUCUAGCAAUCACGCUGUGUCAUUUACAAAUGGGGGCUCAUAAAUAUUCCAGCUUGCACUGUCUUGCGUAUGGAGCGUUCACAUUUGAUGGUGUAAUUUCAUUUUGGUUAAGGAAAAUUUUAUGCAUUUGGGAUCCUUUUAGUUCCCAACAUGAUUAAACCUAGUGUUGUAGCUAAAAAGCUCUUAUGGCAAUUUAUCACUUGUUGGCUUAAAGAAACUUUCAUUACUUUAUUCCGUGACAUCGUUUUCUUUCCUGGUUGCACAACAGAUUUUUCACUUAAAGACACUUUUCUCUUCUCACACUCUAUCUCGGUUACUGCCCACGUCCUCUUUCCUUCCAAAUGUUUUGUUACAUUUUCCCUUGCGCCAGAUCCAAGAGAGUACUUCUACGAAGAAAGAGACAGUUUCUCCAUUUCGUAAUUCAGCAAAAUUCCUUAGUCUUCCUUUUGCUAUGCACGUCUUUUACUAAAAUGCAUUAGUAGUUACAAAAGAUAAUCCGCUCACCCACAAACAAUUGUACUCAAAUACAAACAAUUGAAAAUAAUCUUCAUUUCCCAAAGGCCUAGCAUAUACUUUGAUUCAUUUUUGGUGUUUGAAAUUAAUAUUUAACUUAAUGUUUGUGGCUUCUAACCUAGAAGAGUGCUUAUUUUAAUUUAUAAAAAGGAAACUGAGGAUAUUAGGGCUUGUAUAAAUUUCCUAGAGUUCAAAUCUGAUAAAUAGAAGCAAACUUUGCUUCCAGACUUGACUUACUCAAAAUCUUCAACUUAUUACCACCUUGCGAUCUUGCCUGGUCCAGAAUGUCCUGACAGAAGUGUUGUUAGUAGAAAAAAAAAAAAAAGAGGAAAAUCAAUGAUAAAUUUAAG
This is a long non-coding RNA of Felis catus (domestic cat), 3418 nucleotides long. RefSeq lists it as uncharacterized. The record is from RefSeq and is a predicted model, not a curated record. NCBI's taxonomy places the organism in Eukaryota, Metazoa, Chordata, Mammalia, Carnivora, Felidae. The transcript is spliced from 2 exons.